GGCUCAUGAUGAACGCUAGCGACAGGCUUAACACAUGCAAGUCGAGGGGUAACAGGGUGUAGCAAUACACCGCUGACGACCGGCGCACGGGUGAGUAACGCGUAUGCAACCUGCCUUUGACAGAGGGAUAGCCCAUGGAAACGUGGAUUAAUACCUCAUAGUCUCUUUUUCCUUCCUGGGGAAUAGAGUAAAACGAGAGUGGUCAAAGAUGGGCAUGCGUCCUAUUAGGCAGUUGGCGGGGUAACGGCCCACCAAACCGAUGAUAGGUAGGGGUUCUGAGAGGAAGGUCCCCCACACUGGUACUGAGACACGGACCAGACUCCUACGGGAGGCAGCAGUGAGGAAUAUUGGUCAAUGGUCGAGAGACUGAACCAGCCAAGUCGCGUGAGGGAUGACUGCCCUAUGGGUUGUAAACCUCUUUUCUACUGGGAGAAUAAGCCCUAUGUAUAGGGUGAUGACAGUACAGUAGGAAUAAGCAUCGGCUAACUCCGUGCCAGCAGCCGCGGUAAUACGGAGGAUGCGAGCGUUAUCCGGAUUUAUUGGGUUUAAAGGGUGCGUAGGCGGCUUUAUAAGUUAGUGGUAAAAUUUCGGAGCUUCACUCCGGUCCGCCAUUAAAACUGUAGAGCUAGAGAAUGGACGAGGUAGGCGGAAUAAGUUAAGUAGCGGUGAAAUGCAUAGAUAUAACUUAGAACUCCGAUAGCGAAGGCAGCUUACCAGACCAUAACUGACGCUGAUGCACGAGAGCGUGGGUAGCGAACAGGAUUAGAUACCCUGGUAGUCCACGCCGUAAACGAUGCUCACCCGGCCCUUACCGAUAAGAACGUUAGGGGUUAAAUUGAAAGAAUUAAGUGAGCCCCCCUGGGGGAGUACCUCCGCAACGAUGAAACUCAAAGGAAUGGAGGGGGGCCCGCACAAGCGGAGGAACAUGUGGUUUAAUUCGAUGAUACGCGAGGAACCUUACCUGGGUUUAAAUGUAUGUUGCAUAAUCUGGAAACAGUUUUUCUCUUCGGAGCUAUAUACAAGGUGCUGCAUGGUUGUCGUCAGCUCGUGCCGUGAGGUGUCGGGUUAAGUCCCAUAACGAGCGCAACCCUUACCGUUAGUUGCUAGCAUGUAAUGAUGAGCACUCUAGCGGGACUGCCACCGUAAGGUGAGAGGAAAGGGGGGAUGACGUCAAAUCAGCACGGCCCUUACAUCCAGGGCGACACACGUGUUACAAUGGCCAUAACAGCGGGUAGCUACCGGGCGACCGGAUGCAAAUCUCGAAAAUUGGUCUAAGUUCGGAUUGGAGUCUGCAACCCGACUCCAUGAAGUUGGAUUCGCUAGUAAUCGCGCAUCAGCCAUGGCGCGGUGAAUACGUUCCCGGGCCUUGUACACACCGCCCGUCAAGCCAUGGAAGCUGGGAGUACCAGAAGUCCGUAACCGCGAGGAUCGGCCUAGGGUA
Molecule: ribosomal RNA, 1441 nt
Filed under: uncultured organism
Description: 16S ribosomal RNA
Rfam family: Bacterial small subunit ribosomal RNA
Source: RNAcentral